UACGUAGGGUGCAAGCGUUGUCCGGAUUUAUUGGGUUUAAAGGGUGCGCAGGCGGGCUGUUAAGUUAGUGGUGAAAUCGUCCGGCUCAACCGGAUCUCCGCCAUUGAUACUGGCAGUCUUGAGUGUGUCUGAGGAAGUUGGAAUGCGUGGUGUAGCGGUGAAAUGCAUAGAUAUCACGCAGAACACCAAUUGCGAAGGCAGACUUCUAAGACACAACUGACGCUGAGGCACGAAAGCGUGGGGAGCGAACAGG
This 253-nucleotide ribosomal RNA is filed under the name uncultured bacterium. Its description in RNAcentral is "partial 16S ribosomal RNA". It matches the Rfam family "Bacterial small subunit ribosomal RNA", at positions 524 to 776 of the family's 1533-position model. The record is from RNAcentral.